UACGAAGGGAGCUAGCGUUGUUCGGAAUAACUGGGCGUAAAGGGCGUGUAGGUGGAAAUAUGCGUUAGAUGUGAAAGCCCCGGGCUCAACCUGGGAAUGGCAUUUAAUACGGUAUCUCUAGAGUGCGAGAGGGGAAAGCGGAAUGGCGAGUGGAGCAGUGAAAUGCAUUGAGAUUCGCUAGAACACCAGAGGCGAAGGCGGCUUUCUGGCUCGUAACUGACACUAAGACGCGAAAGCGUGGGGAGCAAACAGG
RNAcentral lists this ribosomal RNA (253 nucleotides) under uncultured bacterium. RNAcentral describes it as "partial 16S ribosomal RNA". It matches the Rfam family "Bacterial small subunit ribosomal RNA", at positions 524 to 776 of the family's 1533-position model. The record is from RNAcentral.